This 466-nucleotide ribosomal RNA is filed under the name uncultured bacterium. RNAcentral describes it as "partial 16S ribosomal RNA". It matches the Rfam family "Bacterial small subunit ribosomal RNA", at positions 28 to 507 of the family's 1533-position model. The record is from RNAcentral.
GAUGAACGCUGGCGGCGUGCUUAACACAUGCCAGUCGAACGAUGAAACCCAGCUUGCUGGGUGGAUUAGUGGCGAACGGGUGAGUAACACGUGAGUAACCUGCCCUUGACUCUGGGAUAAGCCUGGGAAACUGGGUCUAAUACUGGAUAUGACUUCUCAUCGCAUGGUGGGGGGUGGAAAGAUUUAUUGGUCUUGGAUGGACUCGCGGCCUAUCAGCUUGUUGGUGAGGUAAUGGCUCAUCAAGGCGACGACGGGUAGCCGGCCUGAGAGGGUGACCGGCCACACUGGGACUGAGACACGGCCCAGACUCCUACGGGAGGCAGCAGUGGGGAAUAUUGCACAAUGGGCGCAAGCCUGAUGCAGCGACGCCGCGUGAGGGAUGACGGCCUUCGGGUUGUAAACCUCUUUCAGUAGGGAAGAAGCGAGAGUGACGGUACCUGCAGAAGAAGCGCCGGCUAACUACGUG